AUGUAGAACGAGGGGGGUGACAUGGUGGACCUCUACGUCCCCAGGAAGUGCUCGGCCACCAACAGGAUCAUCACGGCCAAGGACCACGCCUCUGUCCAGAUCAUCAUUGGUCAUGUUGAUGAGAAUGGCCUCUAUGAUGGCCGCUUCACCACCUUGGAUGGGACUCCAUCAAUUUAG
Molecule: ribosomal RNA, 177 nt
Filed under: Triticum aestivum (bread wheat)
Lineage: Eukaryota; Viridiplantae; Streptophyta; Magnoliopsida; Poales; Poaceae
Description: partial small subunit ribosomal RNA
Source: RNAcentral